RNAcentral lists this long non-coding RNA (396 nucleotides) under Gallus gallus (chicken). Its description in RNAcentral is "lncRNA (ENSGALG00010006376.1)". The record is from RNAcentral. Lineage: Eukaryota; Metazoa; Chordata; Aves; Galliformes; Phasianidae.
GGAGGAACACAGGAUCUGUGACAGCGGAAAGCCAGAGGGCUGCAGGCACGGGGCAGAGGGGAGGGGAACCACCACUUCCCCCAGUUGUCACAGCAGGGAGACAUCCUCCAAGGGCUGCACUGAAGAUACUUGCGCAAGGAAGAAUUCAGCGUUUAUGGAUAUGCCCCUUGGAGGACUGAGGCCAUCAGAAGAAGACCCGUAAGUCAUUAAAACACUCUUGACUCCGAGAAGCUGUCUGCCCUGGACUCUGGAACCAUUGCACCAGCCCUCCACACUCUUCCAGUGAAGAGCAGCUGCUGAGUAGGACCUCACAUAGAAUUUCACCAAAUCCAUAAUUCCUGUCUUUAAUGAGCAUUUAAGUGAAACAUGCUGUGCCUGUGGUGUGGACUGAGCAUC